This 253-nucleotide ribosomal RNA is filed under the name uncultured bacterium. RNAcentral's name for it is "partial 16S ribosomal RNA". It matches the Rfam family "Bacterial small subunit ribosomal RNA", at positions 524 to 776 of the family's 1533-position model. The record is from RNAcentral.
UACAGAGGGUGCAAGCGUUGUUCGGAAUUAUUGGGCGUAAAGCGCGUGUAGGCGGUUUUUCAAGUCCUGUGUGAAAGCCCUGGGCUCAACCCAGGAAGUGCGCAGGAUACUGGAUGACUGGAGUGGCGGAGAGGAUGGCGGAAUUCCCGGUGUAGAGGUGAAAUUCGUAGAUAUCGGGAGGAACACCUGUGGCGAAGGCGGCCAUCUGGACGUCAACUGACGCUGAGACGCGAAAGCGUGGGUAGCAAACAGG